CUUAUCAAGAGAGGUGGAGGGACUGGCCCAAUGAAACCCAGCAACCAAUAUGGUUCAUAUACUAUAUGUGGUGCUAAAUCCUGCAGUAUUAAACUGAUAGAUAAGG
RNAcentral lists this non-coding RNA (106 nucleotides) under Clostridium neonatale. RNAcentral describes it as "SAM riboswitch (S box leader)". It matches the Rfam family "SAM riboswitch aptamer (S box leader)". Rfam says of the family: The SAM riboswitch is found upstream of a number of genes which code for proteins involved in methionine or cysteine biosynthesis in Gram-positive bacteria. The SAM riboswitch acts at the level of transcription termination control. Lineage: Bacteria; Bacillati; Bacillota; Clostridia; Eubacteriales; Clostridiaceae. The record is from RNAcentral.